GUAUGAAGAUGGCGGAACGGUAUGGGAUGCGAUCAAACGGCUUCUUAAACUUACAGUUUUGAAAACAUUUUACAUCCGAGAGCGCCUGACGCGUGUCCCGCGGAGCCAUCAGCUGGCGUCUGCUGCUGUACAGAACAGCAGGAAGAGCACAGAGGAGCCCUGAGGCGGGAGGCCAACCGAGCCAGAGAACGUUUCCCACAGCAACCAGCAGCAAGGCUCGUUUGAGAUCAGAAGUCAAGGUGGGUGACCUUCUCCCUCCCCAAGUAAUGACCAGGCCGAGAGGCGCUUGGCGGACAGUAUUCAGAGAGUACUGGUGCUGAAGACACUGUGACCCUCC
Molecule: long non-coding RNA, 337 nt
Organism: Megalops cyprinoides (Indo-Pacific tarpon)
Lineage: Eukaryota; Metazoa; Chordata; Actinopteri; Elopiformes; Megalopidae
Exons: 5
Source: RefSeq, a predicted model, not a curated record